AGCGGGGACCUACAGCACAAAGCCAAAUAGCGACAAGUCUGGGGCUUGCUCCUGAGCCCGUGUUUGUCACUCAGGAAACUCUAACCCCGUUAUCAGGUGUCAGUGUGCUGCAAAGAGCCCGGGAUGAAGUCACCCUUCUUGCCAGCCCGGAAAAAACUCAGCAGGCGAGCGCUGUGCAUCUUGGAAAAUCAGACUCUGAACGUGAUCAGGCUGUGGAGAACACUUUACAUAUCUGGUGCUCUGGCUACUCUAAGAACAGAUAUGUUAAACAGCAUCAGCGCCAGGCCCACACAAAACAAGUUAAAACAAUCUGAACUUGGCUCAAAAAUUCUGCCACCCUCCAGAUGUUUUCAACAGCAAAGGAUCACACUUACCAUGUUGGGAGCAGGUAAACACCUGGAGCCUGCCUGAUUGCCUCCCCGCGUGCUCUGCCUGACUGGACCAGGUUUCCAAGGAUCUUCCUCAGAUGAAGUGACCCCGUGGUCCCACCUGGCAGGCGGCUGUGUGAGUGCAAGCCCCUGGCCAGCACCCUGCUCAGCAGUUCAUCUCCUUGCAGUAAUUCCAAUACACUAUGUUUGGUUCACUCAUAGUUUCCAAGAAAGGAGGUAGGCUUGAAUUGAAGACAAGCAUUGAAGACUCCCACUUUUCUGGGUCUGUUUCAGGAGUCCCUGACCGUCACGUUCAGAAGAGCAUCCCACCUCCCUGUGUCUGGCUUCAGCUUGCAGACAUACCAUUUUAUUCUGCCUUCUGCUUGAUUAAAGAGCCUUUCAGAGCCUGGCAUUUUCUCUUUGUGACACUACACAUAUGCUGCAAGCAAACCCCCUCUCAUCCGUCUUUCUGAAAAGCUAAAUAUACUGAGUCGCUUAAUUCUCUUUCUGCCAGGCUUUUCCUCCCACCCUCAAGCCAUUUUUUUGUGUUUCUGCUCUAUAGAGCCUCUCUGAUUUUCCUGAAUCCUUUUCAAGAUACAGAAUCCCACAUUGAGCCUCCCUAAUGCUUUGACACAGGGAUUUAAUCUGCUUUUCCUACUUUCUGUCUUAAAGGGCUGCAUUAGUCCUUUCUACCACAGCAUCAGGAUAAGGAUUCAGGCAGGAUCCUCUUGAAUCUUUUCCAGACCCCCCUGCUGGCAGGUUAGAACCACCUGUAUCUCAGCUGCACAUCCAGGAACUGAUGAAUGGAGUUUGCUGGUUGGAGACACCUCCACUCGCACACACCUCCCUCACUUGCUCCCUUGUCCUAGAAUCAUGGAUGUCAUAGUUGCCACAUUUGGGGAGGCUUAGGGAGCUGAGCUUGGCAGGCCUUAGGAAGAUUUGCUAAGCCCUGGUGAGCUGUCCAGGAGCAAAUGUCCUGCUCCUAGUAGGUUACUGCACCGUGAAAGAGAGGAGAGCACAGAACCAAGCAGUGCCUGCUGGCAUGCAGGCUGGUUUGACUGUCUAGGAAAUAUUUUGCAAUGCCUGUUAAUAUUUUACCCAUUUUGUCCAGAGUGACAAUGGUCACUGUAGAAUCUGUGCACUGACUAGUUACCAGGCUGCACACCAUGAUCACAGCCUCUUAAAAACAAUUGGCUAGGUGAAGGUUCCCUCUUUAAUUCUACUCCUUAAGAAACCAGCUAAAAUAACCCUCCCCCCAGCAGCCUCCCCAGUGAAGCCUACCUGAGAUCUGGCAGUGAAAUAGGGAGUCUUCCUCAGCCCAGGUGCCAUUACUGGAUAUCACAGUGCAUUUCUUCAUGCCAGUGCUGCAGGAAUCUUGAAUGAGCCCAGUUCCAGCUGUGGCCAUGCUGCCUCUCUGAAGCCAGGAGUGCUGUCCUUGAG
Long non-coding RNA from Passer domesticus (house sparrow), 1808 nucleotides. RefSeq lists it as uncharacterized. The transcript is spliced from 2 exons. Lineage: Eukaryota; Metazoa; Chordata; Aves; Passeriformes; Passeridae. The record is from RefSeq and is a predicted model, not a curated record.